UACGUAGGGGGCUAGCGUUGUCCGGAAUCAUUGGGCGUAAAGAGCGUGUAGGCGGUUCGGUAAGUCUGCUGUGAAAGUCCAGGGCUCAACCCUGGAAUGCCAGUGGAAACUGCCGAGCUAGAGUCCGGAAGAGGCGAGUGGAAUUCCUGGUGUAGCGGUGAAAUGCGCAGAUAUCAGGAGGAACACCAAUGGCGAAAGCAGCUCGCUGGGACGGUACUGACGCUGAGACGCGAAAGCGUGGGGAGCAAACAGG
This 253-nucleotide ribosomal RNA is filed under the name uncultured bacterium. RNAcentral describes it as "partial 16S ribosomal RNA". It matches the Rfam family "Bacterial small subunit ribosomal RNA", at positions 524 to 776 of the family's 1533-position model. The record is from RNAcentral.